RNAcentral lists this long non-coding RNA (335 nucleotides) under Gossypium barbadense (sea-island cotton). Its description in RNAcentral is "long non-coding RNA (GBAR_LNC012606)". Lineage: Eukaryota; Viridiplantae; Streptophyta; Magnoliopsida; Malvales; Malvaceae. The record is from RNAcentral.
UCGAUGCCCAGGUUGAUGCUGACGUUUCUUGGAUUUGAGGCACUUUAUGGUUACACGCCUAUAUUGACCCAAACACCACCUGUAUCACUAUUUUACCAGGAUGGCUCAUUGUCGUAACCACUGGAGCGAGAGUGCAGAUACAUGAUAGUAGGCGAGAACGAUGCAGCAAUCGACCACGGAGGAAGAUGAUGAUGCUGUCAUACCCAAAGAAAUGAUUUCCCAGGGAACAAUGCUAGGUACAUAUUUAAGCGACGAUGAUGAUGAGAAGAAAGUCUACAGGCCCCCACCUCCUGAUGCACCUCCGAUUGAACACCAGGUUGUACGCCUGGUUAAAC